Long non-coding RNA from Tupaia belangeri chinensis (Chinese tree shrew), 1099 nucleotides. RefSeq lists it as uncharacterized. Lineage: Eukaryota; Metazoa; Chordata; Mammalia; Scandentia; Tupaiidae. The transcript has 4 exons. The record is from RefSeq and is a predicted model, not a curated record.
UUAAACUUUGUCUCAUUAUCAGUAGCCCAAGGAGCUCACAGGCUCUGCCUCAGGGCCUCAUCUCUUAUGCCCUUACUCAUUCUCUAGGGCAUAAAAACAAAUGACCUGCUGGUUUUCAUUUAUUGCUAGAGCAUGUUCUCCUUGUUCAUCUUCAGCUAGGCUGACAGCAGUAGAGCAACAUCAGCAAGUUAAUUUACCUUUUGUUCACUUUUUUUUUUUUUUUCACUUUUUCAUUGACCUGACAAACACUUUUGGCCUUACUUGGAACAGAACACUGGUGCCUUCCUCCUAACUUCAGACACAGCUAACUCCACAAGCCAGUCUUCAAGCAGACCAUUGUGAAUGAAGUCUUCACUGGGCUCCCCACUGCCCACAGCUGUACUCACAGGUGCUUUCUUUGCUUACUCAAACAUUAGCUGAGACUGUUGAAUAAAUGGAUAAAGAAGGAUGAUUCAGCCUAGCCACAGUGGCACAGUGAUACCUAAUGCUCUGCCAUGUUUGAAGCCAUAUGGAAGACGGGGGAUUGGUUCCUGGCUGGAUCUGUUCAUAUUUAACCCGGACUCCUAUUGGAAAGAGAUUCAUGAAAACGUCAUUAUAGUUUUCUCUUCUGUGACCUAGAGAAGAAUACAGAAAGGGAAACUAAAAGAAGAUGGGGUGCCUGAGGUUUAGAUAGUUUGAAAUGAGCUGGUGGAAGAGAAUCAGCCUGUCUACAUCUCUGAUCUGCUACUGUCUCCUCAAUCUUUAGAUCCAUUUCCAACACAAACCCUACAGUGCCCUCCUUAGGGAUACUUGAAAGCCUGCUUGCAUUUUACUUCUUUCAAAACAAGUGAAUUAGAAGUCCCUCUCCUCCUCUUCUGCAAAAUUGCACAAGGCAACUAUGGGAGAUAAGUAAGAUUUUUCUAGAAUCACAUGAGGGCCCCCAAACUAAAACAAUAUGAAACUCUUCUAUUGAAUAUGGCUGCUUCAAAUUGAAUGUGUCUCUCAGAUGAUGAGACAACUUCUUAGAGGAAGAUGUAUUUGAAAAUAAUUACUAUUCAUCAUUCUCAUCUAACAGAACUAUUUUCUGGCCCCACCUGGGUUUCCAACCUUAGAAACUACU